This 595-nucleotide long non-coding RNA is filed under the name Homo sapiens (human). RNAcentral's name for it is "HSALNT0369489". The record is from RNAcentral. Lineage: Eukaryota; Metazoa; Chordata; Mammalia; Primates; Hominidae.
CCGCACUUCUUCGUAAAGGCCAUCAAGGUCCUAAUGUUUGCAUGUUGUGGUUUGAAGAUCUAUUCAGAGCAGGGCUGGUGGCCUGACCUGAGUAAAGCCAAAUAGGUCCUGAGCUUUCUCCUUCAGUGUCAUGUGGCUUAACAUAGCAAUUGCAAGUUUGCUGUUGGAGUGGCUGAUGAGUUGAGAGCUUCACAUAUAAGUCCCUAUUUAUGUGUUUGGCUAUACAAGAAGCAUGGCACCAGCAUCUGCUUCUGGUGAGGACUUAUGGAAGUUUCCACUCACGGCAGAAGGGAGAGGGGAGCAGGCAUCACAUGAUGAGAGAGAAAGAAAGAGAGGAGAAGGUGCCAGGUUCUUUUUUUAACAAUCAGAUCUGGACCCAGGAACUCAGAGCAAUAAGUCACUCAUUACCCCUUCCACCAGGCCCUGCCUUCAACCCUAGGGAUCAAAUUUCAACAUGAGAUUUGGAAAGGCCAGACAUCCAAACUCUACUAGCCUAUCAGUAGCCCCUUACUCUUCCAAGAAUAAGGACAUUCCUGCAUUAAAAUGUAUAAUAUAAUGCUGAGUGAUAAGCUCUUAAAAUAAAAGUAAAAAUAAA